This 617-nucleotide ribosomal RNA is filed under the name Segatella copri. Its description in RNAcentral is "bacterial SSU rRNA". It matches the Rfam family "Bacterial small subunit ribosomal RNA", at positions 907 to 1533 of the family's 1533-position model. The record is from RNAcentral. Lineage: Bacteria; Pseudomonadati; Bacteroidota; Bacteroidia; Bacteroidales; Prevotellaceae.
GAAUUGACGGGGGCCCGCACAAGCGGAGGAACAUGUGGUUUAAUUCGAUGAUACGCGAGGAACCUUACCCGGGCUUGAAUUGCAGAGGAAGGAUUUGGAGACAAUGACGCCCUUCGGGGCCUCUGUGAAGGUGCUGCAUGGUUGUCGUCAGCUCGUGCCGUGAGGUGUCGGCUUAAGUGCCAUAACGAGCGCAACCCCUCUCCUUAGUUGCCAUCAGGUUAAGCUGGGCACUCUGGGGACACUGCCACCGUAAGGUGUGAGGAAGGUGGGGAUGACGUCAAAUCAGCACGGCCCUUACGUCCGGGGCUACACACGUGUUACAAUGGCAGGUACAGAGAGAUGGUGUUCUGCAAAGCGCAUCUAAUCCUUAAAGCCUGUCUCAGUUCGGACUGGGGUCUGCAACCCGACCCCACGAAGCUGGAUUCGCUAGUAAUCGCGCAUCAGCCAUGGCGCGGUGAAUACGUUCCCGGGCCUUGUACACACCGCCCGUCAAGCCAUGAAAGCCGGGGGCGCCUAAAGUCCGUGACCGUAAGGAGCGGCCUAGGGCGAAACUGGUAAUUGGGGCUAAGUCGUAACAAGGUAGCCGUACCGGAAGGUGCGGCUGGAACACCUCCUUU